RNAcentral lists this ribosomal RNA (463 nucleotides) under uncultured bacterium. RNAcentral's name for it is "partial 16S ribosomal RNA". It matches the Rfam family "Bacterial small subunit ribosomal RNA", at positions 28 to 507 of the family's 1533-position model. The record is from RNAcentral.
GACGAACGCUGGCGGCGUGCUUAACACAUGCAAGUCGAGCGGAAAGGCCACUUCGGUGGUACUCGAGCGGCGAACGGGUGAGUAACACGUGAGUAAUCUGCCCCUCACUUUGGGAUAGCCACCGGAAACGGUGAUUAAUACCGGAUAUGACCAUAUGUCGCAUGGCGUGUGGUGGAAAGUUUUUCGGUGAGGGAUGUGCUCGCGGCCUAUCAGCUUGAUGGUGAGGUAAUGGCUCACCAUGGCUUCGACGGGUAGCCGGCCUGAGAGGGUGACCGGUCACACUGGGACUGAGACACGACCCAGACUCCUACGGGAGGCAGCAGUGGGGAAUAUUGGACAAUGGGCGGAAGCCUGAUCCAGCAACGCCGCGUGAGGGAUGACGGCCUUCGGGUUGUAAACCUCUUUCAGUACCGACGAAGCGCAAGUGACGGUAGGUACAGAAGAAGCACCGGCCAACUACGUG